ACGCUGGCGGCAUGCCUAAUACAUGCAAGUCGAGCGAACAGAUGAAGUGCUUGCACUUCUGACGUUAGCGGCGAACGGGUGAGUAACACGUAAGGAAUCUACCUAUAAGCGGGGGAUAACAUUCGGAAACGGGUGCUAAUACCGCAUAAUAUCUUCUUCCGCAUGGAAGAAGAUUGAAAGACGGCUCUGCUGUCACUUAUAGAUGACCUUGCGGUGCAUUAGUUAGUUGGUGGGGUAACGGCCUACCAAGACGAUGAUGCAUAGCCGACCUGAGAGGGUGAUCGGCCACAUUGGGACUGAGACACGGCCCAAACUCCUACGGGAGGCAGCAGUAGGGAAUCUUCCGCAAUGGGCGAAAGCCUGACGGAGCAAUGCCGCGUGAGUGAAGAAGGCCUUCGGGUCGUAAAACUCUGUUAUAAGAGAAGAACAAAUUGUAGAGUAACUGCUACAGUCUUGACGGUAUCUUAUCAGAAAGCCACGGCUAACUACGUGCCAGCAGCCGCGGUAAUACGUAGGUGGCAAGCGUUGUCCGGAUUUAUUGGGCGUAAAGGGAGCGCAGGUGGUUUCUUAAGUCUGAUGUGAAAGCCCACGGCUUAACCGUGGAGGGUCACUGGAAACUGGGAAACUUGAGUACAGAAGAGGAAUGUGGAACUCCAUGUGUAGCGGUGGAAUGCGUAGAUAUAUGGAAGAACACCAGUGGCGAAGGCGACAUUCUGGUCUGUUACUGACACUGAGGCUCGAAAGCGUGGGGAGCAAACAGGAUUAGAUACCCUGGUAGUCC
This 781-nucleotide ribosomal RNA is filed under the name uncultured bacterium. RNAcentral's name for it is "bacterial SSU rRNA". It matches the Rfam family "Bacterial small subunit ribosomal RNA", at positions 33 to 796 of the family's 1533-position model. The record is from RNAcentral.